RNAcentral lists this ribosomal RNA (406 nucleotides) under uncultured bacterium. RNAcentral describes it as "partial 16S ribosomal RNA". It matches the Rfam family "Bacterial small subunit ribosomal RNA", at positions 30 to 526 of the family's 1533-position model. The record is from RNAcentral.
AUUGAACGCUGGCGGCAGGCCUAAUACAUGCAAGUCGAGCGAGCGGCGGACGGGCGAGCAAUGUCGGGGAAACUGCCUGACGGAGGGGGCUAACUACUGGAAACGGUGGCUAAUACCGCAUACCAUCGGUUGUGCCCAGGUGGGAUUAUCUAGUAGGUGGGGUAAAGGCUCACCUAGGCGACGGUCCCCACCUGGUCUGCGAGGAAGACCGGCCACACUGGAACUGAGACACGGUCCAGACUCCUACGGUAGGCAGCGUUGGGAAAUAUUGCACAAUGGGCGAAAGCCUGAUGCAGCAAUGCCGGGUGUAUGAAGAAGGCCUUCGGUUUGUAAAGUAGUUUCAGCGGGGAGGCGGUAUCCGAACAAGAAGCACCGGCUAACUCCGUGCCAGCAGCCGCGGUAAUUC